AGAGCUUGAUCAUGGCUCAGGAUGAACGCUAGCUACAGGCUUAACAUAUGCAAGUCGAGGGGCAGCAUUUUAGUUUGCUUGCAAACUAAAGAUGGCGACCGGCGCACGGGUGAGUAACACGUAUCCAACCUGCCGAUAACUCGGGGAUAGCCUUUCGAAAGAAAGAUUAAUAUCCGAUAGUAUAUUAAAACCGCAUGGUUUUACUAUUAAAGAAUUUCGGUUAUCGAUGGGGAUGCGUUCCAUUAGUUUGUUGGCGGGGUAACGGCCCACCAAGACUACGAUGGAUAGGGGUUCUGAGAGGAAGGUCCCCCACAUUGGAACUGAGACACGGUCCAAACUCCUACGGGAGGCAGCAGUGAGGAAUAUUGGUCAAUGGACGAGAGUCUGAACCAGCCAAGUAGCGUGAAGGAUGACUGCCCUAUGGGUUGUAAACUUCUUUUAUAUGGGAAUAAAGUAUUCCACGUGUGGGAUUUUGUAUGUACCAUAUGGAUAAGGAUCGGCUAACUCCGUGCCAGCAGCCGCGGUAAUACGGAGGAUCCGAGCGUUAUCCGGAUUUAUUGGGUUUAAAGGGAGCGUAGGUGGAUUGUUAAGUCAGUUGUGAAAGUUUGCGGCUCAACCGUAAAAUUGCAGUUGAAACUGGCAGUCUUGAGUACAGUAGAGGUGGGCGGAAUUCGUGGUGUAGCGGUGAAAUGCUUAGAUAUCACGAAGAACUCCGAUUGCGAAGGCAGCUCACUAGACUGCAACUGACACUGAUGCUCGAAAGUGUGGGUAUCAAACAGGAUUAGAUACCCUGGUAGUCCACACAGUAAACGAUGAAUACUCGCUGUUUGCGAUAUACAGUAAGCGGCCAAGCGAAAGCAUUAAGUAUUCCACCUGGGGAGUACGCCGGCAACGGUGAAACUCAAAGGAAUUGACGGGGGCCCGCACAAGCGGAGGAACAUGUGGUUUAAUUCGAUGAUACGCGAGGAACCUUACCCGGGCUUAAAUUGCAUUUGAAUAAUCUGGAAACAGGUUAGCCGCAAGGCAAAUGUGAAGGUGCUGCAUGGUUGUCGUCAGCUCGUGCCGUGAGGUGUCGGCUUAAGUGCCAUAACGAGCGCAACCCUUAUCUUUAGUUACUAACAGGUCAUGCUGAGGACUCUAGAGAGACUGCCGUCGUAAGAUGUGAGGAAGGUGGGGAUGACGUCAAAUCAGCACGGCCCUUACGUCCGGGGCUACACACGUGUUACAAUGGGGGGUACAGAAGGCAGCUACCUGGCGACAGGAUGCUAAUCCCAAAAACCUCUCUCAGUUCGGAUCGAAGUCUGCAACCCGACUUCGUGAAGCUGGAUUCGCUAGUAAUCGCGCAUCAGCCAUGGCGCGGUGAAUACGUUCCCGGGCCUUGUACACACCGCCCGUCAAGCCAUGAAAGCCGGGGGUACCUGAAGUACGUAACCGCAAGGAGCGUCCUAGGGUAAAACUGGUAAUUGGGGCUAAGUCGUAACAAGGUA
This 1487-nucleotide ribosomal RNA is filed under the name metagenome. Its description in RNAcentral is "bacterial SSU rRNA". It matches the Rfam family "Bacterial small subunit ribosomal RNA". The record is from RNAcentral.